AAAGACUUUUUUUUUUUCUUUCUUUGAGAGACUUUUGCGGACGGAAAUUAUUUGGCAAAAUAUCUCUGUCUUUUGACCGCGAUUCCAAACUCUAGUGAUCUCUAGUGAACUAAAGACUUCACCAUCCAAUAUAGCUUUUUUCUUCACCAAAAUCGCACCCUAAAAAGAGAAUUUUGAAAUAAAUGGCAGAGUCUGCUCAAAACCCAGUGACGCAGCAGCAGAAAAUCAUUGUAACCAACAAACAUGGUGAAAAGCUUGUGGGCUUGUUACAUGACACUGGUUCUGGGGAUAUUGUAAUCUUAUGCCAUGGUUUUACAUCCACCAAGGACGACCCUAUUAUGGUGAACCUCGCUGUUGCAUUGGAAAGUGAAGGAAUUAGUUCAUUUCGUUUUGAUUUUUCUGGAAAUGGGGAAAGCGAAGGCAUCUUUGAGUAUGGUAACUAUCAGAAAGAAGCUGAUGACUUACAUGCUGUAGUUGAACACUUCUCAGGGACAAGCCGUGUAGCAAGUGUAAUUUUGGGGCACAGCAAAGGAGGUGAUGUGGUGCUUCUGUAUGCUUCUAAGUAUCAUGACAUUUGUACGGUUGUCAAUGUUUCUGGACGUUAUGAUCUGAAGAAAGGCAUUGGAGAACGCUUGGGGAAAGACUUUAUGGAAACGAUCAAGAAGGAAGGCUUCCUUGAUAUCAAGAAUAACACAGGAGGUGUUGCUUACCGUGUGACUGAAGAAAGUCUGAUGGAUCGCCUAAGUACUGAUAUGCAAGAAUCAUGCCUUCAGAUUGGCAAAGAAUGCCAGGUGUUGACAGUCCAUGGAUCUGAUGAUGAGGUCAUCCCUGUGGACGAUGCAGUGGAGUUUUCCAAGAUAAUAACUAACCAUAAAUUACAUAUUGUGCGAGGAGCUAAUCAUUGUUACACCUCGCAUCAAGCUGAGUUAGCUUCAGUUGUGGUGGACUACAUAAAGACCGCUCUGCAGCAGGACAAGACUACUUCCAACUAGACUGGCAGAGCAUAAAAGCAACAAAGCUGUUGGUAUUUCCAUCGCCUUGCCCUUCAGGACUACUUAGCGUUGUAACCUUCCCAUUUAGUUCUGCUGCUGUCAAAGUGCCCUUUUGGGAGUCGUGUGACCGAGGGAAGUUUGAUGGAUCGCGUUUGUGCUGAUAUGCAUGAAUCAUGCCUUAAGAUUGACAAAGAAUGCCGGGUGUUUUGACAGUCCAUGGAUCUUCUGAUAAGACCAUCCCGUUUGAAGAUGUAUUAAAGUUUUCGAACAUAUAAUACCUAAUCACAAUUUACAUAUA
Molecule: RNA transcript, 1290 nt
Organism: Rosa rugosa (rugosa rose)
Lineage: Eukaryota; Viridiplantae; Streptophyta; Magnoliopsida; Rosales; Rosaceae
Exons: 9
Source: RefSeq, a predicted model, not a curated record